Girardinichthys multiradiatus is the source of this 2074-nucleotide long non-coding RNA. RefSeq lists it as uncharacterized. The transcript has 7 exons. The record is from RefSeq and is a predicted model, not a curated record. Lineage: Eukaryota; Metazoa; Chordata; Actinopteri; Cyprinodontiformes; Goodeidae.
GAGGAACUGGAGGAGGUGUCUGGAGAGAGGGACGUCUGGGCGUCUCUGCUGAGUCUGCUGCCCCCGCGACCCGGUCCCGGAUAAGCGGAAGACGACGAGUACGAGUACGAGGAAUAAAUGUGUUGUUCAGGUCACUGUUUACGCACAGCUAAAUAAGAGACUGGAAAAUGUGAGAUUCCCCAAAAAAACACUACGACUGGGAGACAAUCAAAGAGGUACUGAUUAAUUGGCUAAUCCUUGCAGCUCUACAAAGAGACGUCGUCUCGAAGAGACACAUGACACAGAUGAAACCAUUUCUAGUGACUCAACAAUCAUUCUGGGUCCGUCUACAGAUGAAAGUACCAGCCCAGACUCAGUUAGUGUUGACAGGGAGUUAGAAGGAAAAACGCCUCAAAGCCCCCAGGAAGAAGCGCUCUCUCUCCUGUCCAGUCCUAAGACUAACAGGUCAGCAGAUGUUGAAAACUCAUCCAACUACAGUCCAGCAACCUCAGCCAACAAUACAAGACCCUACAAUCUUUGUAUGAAAAAGAAAUCCAGACCACCAGGAUGUGUCUCUUCUCCUGGAGUUGGAGCUCCAAGCCUGAAGAACAUUCAUUGAUUCAAAUACUAUUCAUGAGGAGGACAGACACAAGCAGGUUAUAAAGGCAUAUCCAUGUUUGAAGGACAUUGGACAUGUCAUGGAGGAGCUUCAAGGCAUUCUAGACAAGGAUAAUAACUGUUAUAUUGAUGAACUGAAAGGAAGAAGGCAAGACUUCUGCCAGAAGGUGCAGUUUUUUGGUGUUUGGAAAAGAAGAUGCUGAAACCACCAAUGGGAACGGACAAAGGUUUAAUCCACAAUCUCCAUCAUGCUGACACACUGAGGAACUUCUCUUGAUGACUUUUACCAGGAUGAUGGCGCCCUCUAGUGUUGAAGAAGAGUUUGUUAACAUGAAACCCAACCUGUAACCCUGAUGCUGCUCAGUGACAGGAGAAAUGAUGAGCUUCACUUCUUUAGCUGUUUUUCCUUGGAAUGAGAGACGGAGGAACAUGAUCUUUAUCUCACUGAUCAAAAACAACCUAAUCUCUUUGUAAUUAACAUGUUUUAUUUCAACAAAGCCAGAAAGAAACAUAUAUUUUCUGCUAUGUUCUGGACAUUAAAACUAUUUUCUGAUGUUUCACAGACUGUUAUUCUUUUCUCAGUAGUUUUAUUGUUUGUUCAUCAAAUCACAGAAAAUACAGAAAAUAAGAGGAUAGAAGCUGAUCUGAAGCUGCUCUCAAACAUCUUAUUAACUCAUUGAAGUUUUCUGCCUCCAUUUAUUUGGUUUUGUCCAACGCUGCCAACAUAGUUGAGAAUAUCCAAUGAAUCUUUAAAAUGAGCGUCUCUGCUGCAGAAGCUGCUGCUUGUAGAGGUUUCUGUGUGCUUUGACAGGGUUUGCAGGGUUGUGUAUCUGCAUGGAGGUUUGCAGCACAGGAACAGGAGAACUUCCUCUCACCUUUCCUCUUCAUCCUGCAGCAGUGGUGGAAGCAGAGGAUGUUCUUGAUGAAUGAAGGUGAAACCAAACAUCUGAUCUGAUCCAGCAUCACAUGAGACACUCUGAAGGAAAUGUUUCUGCUCUUUAGACGACAAAACUCACAAUUUAUUGUUAGAAUGAAAAGAAAACUUUCCACAUUUCUCUGGAAUCAAGUUGUUUUAUUGAAGAAAUCCAAAGAGACAGAACAGCAGACAUAUAUUUUUCUGAUCUAAAUCUAAAGGAUUCAGAAGAAAACAGCAUCAGUUCUAAGUUGAUGUUAGUUUCAGUUUUCUUCUUUGGAUCACAAUAAAGAAACCAGAAGCAAGUUCAGUUCACUUCAAUCUCAACUGAUUUAAACAAGAACAACAUUUGUUCUGCAGAACAGUGGAAGAGAAACCAGAAGAUCCAAAUACAUCAAUACAAAUAUGAAACCAGAACCAUUAGAGCCCAGAGAAGUUUAGAUUUUCAUGUGGAGAAAUAUUUCUGUGUCAAAUAAGAAUGAAAGAAAACAUCAGCAGUGAAAUCCUUUCUGGUUCCUGGAACACAGACACAGAGAACUACAUUUAAACAAGAACAAUGAAGAA